This is a long non-coding RNA of Cyprinus carpio (common carp), 1105 nucleotides long. The record is from Ensembl. NCBI's taxonomy places the organism in Eukaryota, Metazoa, Chordata, Actinopteri, Cypriniformes, Cyprinidae.
GCGCUAAAACACUCGUUUAUUUGCCAAACACCAUAAAACCUCAGAGGAAGAGGAUUACUUUCUCCACGCUCUCUGUUGUUUUGUCGCGAUGCUGGUUUAAUACAAUCUGUUAGAAAUUUAGUUUCUGUAAAUAUAGAAAUACAGUUUUUGAAUCUGGUCUGUAAAUACCUGUAAUAUUCUCAUCCUGACAGUCGUGACUAAGUUUUGAAUCAAGCAGGAAUAACUGGAGGAGUAUCUUCUGAACUGAGAUCUGCUGCUGUGAAGAUGGAGUUUGUUAAAGAAGAGAGUGAAGAGAACACGAGUGAACCAGAAACCCGCAGAAUAAAACACGAGGAUCCAGAAACCCGGAGAAUAAAACACGAGGAACCAGAAACCCAGAUAAUAAAACACGAGGAACCAGAAACAUGGAGAAUAAAACACGAGGAACCAGAAACCUGGAGAAUAAAACACGAGGAACAAGGAGUGAAGCAGCCCGUGCAUGAGAGAAUAAUUGAUUCUGGAGCCGUCGAUAUCAACAGAUUCAGCACCAUCGCCACGGACAGCACCUGGUAGAGUCGCACGUAAGUAGGUAUAUCUUCAGCUUCCUAAGGUAUGGUUCGGGGAACACGCCUAGAAAUGGCAUACCUUUAGUUAAGUUAUACGUUAGGAGUCUUUGUAGCGACUCUAAUAACGUUACCGAGAAACGCAGCCCUGCAAUUAUACUAGAGCAGCAGAGUCUUGGGCUGCGUUUCUCGAUAACGUUGUCUCUUAGCGCGCUACGAAGACUCUUAAGGUAUAACUUGACUAAAAAGGUAUACCAUUUCUAGGCGUGUUCCCCGAACAAUACGGUGCUGAAUCUGUUGAUAUCUACGGCUCGAGAAUUAUUAUCUGAUGCACGGGCUGCUUCACUGCGUUUUGAGAGAAAGCGGUGUUCUUUAUAAAAUAAUCACUUCAGAAAUAGUUGAAAUUGCAUGAAAAGUAAUCCAAACUAUAAUAGCCUAGCCUAAAUAUUUAAAAAUUGUAUCAUAUAUUGCUGCCACAAUAACCAUUUCAUUUUUUUACAUGCUUUCUUCUCGUUCCCAUUUUUUUGUUUGCUGUGGUGUUGCUGCGAUGAGAUAUUGUUCUU